RNAcentral lists this ribosomal RNA (253 nucleotides) under uncultured bacterium. RNAcentral describes it as "partial 16S ribosomal RNA". It matches the Rfam family "Bacterial small subunit ribosomal RNA", at positions 524 to 776 of the family's 1533-position model. The record is from RNAcentral.
UACAGAGGUCCCAAGCGUUGUUCGGAUUCAUUGGGCGUAAAGCGUGCGUAGACGGUUAUGUAAGUCGGGUGUGAAAGCCCCGGGCUCAACCUGGGAAUUGCAUUCGAGACUGCAUAGCUAGGGUGCGGAAGAGGGAAGCGGAAUUUCCGGUGUAGCGGUGAAAUGCGUAGAUAUCGGAAGGAACACCAGUGGCGAAAGCGGCUUCCAGGUCCAGCACCGACGUUCAGGCACGAAAGCGUGGGGAGCAAACAGG